AGUGAACGCUGGCGGUAGGCCUAACACAUGCAAGUCGAACGGCAGCACAGAGGAGCUUGCUCCUUGGGUGGCGAGUGGCGGACGGGUGAGGAAUACAUCGGAAUCUACUUUUUCGUGGGGGAUAACGUAGGGAAACUUACGCUAAUACCGCAUACGACCUACGGGUGAAAGCAGGGGAUCUUCGGACCUUGCGCGAUUGAAUGAGCCGAUGUCGGAUUAGCUAGUUGGCGGGGUAAAGGCCCACCAAGGCGACGAUCCGUAGCUGGUCUGAGAGGAUGAUCAGCCACACUGGAACUGAGACACGGUCCAGACUCCUACGGGAGGCAGCAGUGGGGAAUAUUGGACAAUGGGCGCAAGCCUGAUCCAGCCAUACCGCGUGGGUGAAGAAGGCCUUCGGGUUGUAAAGCCCUUUUGUUGGGAAAGAAAUCCAGCCGGCUAAUACCUGGUUGGGAUGACGGUACCCAAAGAAUAAGCACCGGCUAACUUCGUGCCAGCAGCCGCGGUAAUACGAAGGGUGCAAGCGUUACUCGGAAUUACUGGGCGUAAAGCGUGCGUAGGUGGUCGUUUAAGUCCGUUGUGAAAGCCCUGGGCUCAACCUGGGAACUGCAGUGGAUACUGGRCGACUAGAGUGUGGUAGAGGGUAGCGGAAUUCCUGGUGUAGCAGUGAAAUGCGUAGAGAUCAGGAGGAACAUCCAUGGCGAAGGCAGCUACCUGGAC
This 717-nucleotide ribosomal RNA is filed under the name uncultured Gammaproteobacteria bacterium. RNAcentral's name for it is "bacterial SSU rRNA". It matches the Rfam family "Bacterial small subunit ribosomal RNA", at positions 28 to 734 of the family's 1533-position model. The record is from RNAcentral. Lineage: Bacteria; Pseudomonadati; Pseudomonadota; Gammaproteobacteria.